UAGGGAAUCUUCGGCAAUGGACGAAAGUCUGACCGAGCAACGCCGCGUGAGUGAAGAAGGUUUUCGGAUCGUAAAACUCUGUUGUUAGAGAAGAACAAGGACGUUAGUAACUGAACGUCCCCUGACGGUAUCUAACCAGAAAGCCACGGCUAACUACGUGCCAGCAGCCGCGGUAAUACGUAGGUGGCAAGCGUUGUCCGGAUUUAUUGGGCGUAAAGCGAGCGCAGGCGUUUUCUUAAGUCUGAUGUGAAAGCCCCCGGCUCAACCGGGGAGGGUCAUUGGAAACUGGGAGACUUGAGUGCAGAAGAGGAGAGUGGAAUUCCAUGUGUAGCGGUGAAAUGCGUAGAUAUAUGGAGGAACACCAGUGGCGAAGGCGGCUCUCUGGUCUGUAACUGACGCUGAGGCUCGAAAGCGUGGGGAGCAAACAGG
RNAcentral lists this ribosomal RNA (429 nucleotides) under Gemmatimonadota bacterium. RNAcentral's name for it is "Gemmatimonadetes bacterium partial 16S ribosomal RNA". It matches the Rfam family "Bacterial small subunit ribosomal RNA", at positions 355 to 776 of the family's 1533-position model. Lineage: Bacteria; Pseudomonadati; Gemmatimonadota. The record is from RNAcentral.